UCUCAUGCUGUGACCCUCCAAAGGGAAGUGCUUUCUGUUUGUUUUCUCUCAAACAAAGUGCCUCCCUUUAGAGUGUUACCGUUUGGGA
This 88-nucleotide microRNA precursor is filed under the name Nomascus leucogenys (northern white-cheeked gibbon). Its description in RNAcentral is "mir-515 microRNA precursor family". It matches the Rfam family "mir-515 microRNA precursor family". Lineage: Eukaryota; Metazoa; Chordata; Mammalia; Primates; Hylobatidae. The record is from Rfam by way of RNAcentral.